Molecule: ribosomal RNA, 236 nt
Filed under: Klebsiella pneumoniae
Lineage: Bacteria; Pseudomonadati; Pseudomonadota; Gammaproteobacteria; Enterobacterales; Enterobacteriaceae
Description: partial 23S ribosomal RNA
Rfam family: Bacterial large subunit ribosomal RNA
Source: RNAcentral
UGUGAACUCGAAGAGUAGGGCGGGACACGUGGUAUCCUGUCUGAAUAUGGGGGGACCAUCCUCCAAGGCUAAAUACUCCUGACUGACCGAUAGUGAACCAGUACCGUGAGGGAAAGGCGAAAAGAACCCGGCGAGGGGAGUGAAAAGAACCUGAAACCGUGUACGUACAAGCAGUGGGAGCACCUUCGGGUGUGACUGCGUACCUUUGUAUAAUGGUCAGCGACUUAUACUUCUGU